RNAcentral lists this transfer RNA (67 nucleotides) under Poecilimon unispinosus. RNAcentral describes it as "transfer RNA-Leu". The record is from RNAcentral. Lineage: Eukaryota; Metazoa; Arthropoda; Insecta; Orthoptera; Tettigoniidae.
ACUAUUUUGGCARAGAAGUGCCUUAGAUUUAGAAUCUAAUUAUGUAGUAAGGUUACUACAAAUAGUA